RNAcentral lists this long non-coding RNA (576 nucleotides) under Macaca mulatta (Rhesus monkey). RNAcentral describes it as "lncRNA (ENSMMUG00000050912.1)". Lineage: Eukaryota; Metazoa; Chordata; Mammalia; Primates; Cercopithecidae. The record is from RNAcentral.
UUCCAAGCCUUGAUCUUCGACAUGCUAAACCAAUCAAAUACAUUAAAAACUCAGAUCCCCUGCAAGCAUACUACCAGAGAUUUUUGUCUCUGCCCUUGUCUACAGUGCUUUAUGUGAGGAACCUAAAUCAGCAAUGCUCUACCACUGUCAGUCCCCAGCUGGGCUCUACCUGAAUAAGCAUAUGUUGAGGUGGAGGAGGGAGCCAGGAGUUCCAUGCUCAGCAGAGUACCUACAUCUUCUGUCUCUGAACAAAGCAGAAAAGGAAAGCAGAGAACAGUGUGUGAGAUCUUCCACCCCAUCUCAGGAGCAGCCCCAGAAAGCGCCCCAUUCUUGGGCCUCCUCCUGCACUCACUGGGAAGUAAACAGCGAUGUGAGGCUCCCUGUUCUGGGAAAAAGCUAAUCAAAUGAUCCAACUGCUCCUCAUCUGCAACCCCGAGAGAGGUACCAGGAAAUAGUUUUGGCUGAGAGGAGGGUAGCCACGAAUAAGGGAGGCUGUCACGGAAAACUGCUUUCCCACCUCCCAGCUCCAUCCAGGCCUUAGCCUCUGCACACUGCCCCAGAGCAGGUAUCAGCCAG